RNAcentral lists this long non-coding RNA (787 nucleotides) under Homo sapiens (human). Its description in RNAcentral is "HSALNT0409536". The record is from RNAcentral. Lineage: Eukaryota; Metazoa; Chordata; Mammalia; Primates; Hominidae.
AUGAGAGGAGUUUCUUAUAAAAGCUUUCGAAUUCAGAUGUAACCCAGCAAUGCACUCAGACUCCUCUCUGCUGUGGAGAGCUUUUUUUUUUUUUUUUCAUAUUAAACUUUCACUCCAACUUUAUCUUUGUGUUUACAAUUCUUAAUUUUUUUGUCUUGGAUAAAGAACAAAAAACCUGGAGUACUUCUUCAGACAACAAGAAACUUCCAAAUUAAGGUGCAUUGGCAAGAAUGCAACAUAUUUUGAUCCAUUGGCUUGGAAGGAGGGAAUUCAUCAGAAGGGUCUACCCCAUGCUCUUGGAACCUCAAGAAGAGACAAGUUUACCCAACUCACAGUGCUCACUGCUGCAAAGAAGAACAAGCACACAGGCAAAAAGUUUUCCCAGCAAGAAUGCCAGGGUGAAAGGAAAGAUCAAUUGGACCAGAGCACAAGUGCUGCUCCAGUUACUUGGCAGAGUACCUAAUAGUGAUCCACCACAAUACCACCAUAUAUCUGUUUGGGAAUAAACAAGGGCAAGUUGACUGCUUAAGAGUGAUGACAUGCAACUCAGUCUCUUGCAACACCACCUGAGAAAAGGAAGCACUAGCAGGAAGAACAAAUUGAUGGAGAGGAAAAGUGAUGAAUACAGAUAAGAAGCACAGCUGGUGGAGGCUCAUGUGCCAGUUUACUGGGCCUCAGGACAUUCUCCUCUAGAAGGAGGAGACAGCAUGACCCCCACUUUCUUUUAUUUUAUUAUAAUUUAAGUUUUAGGGUACAUGAGCACAAUGUGCAGGUUAGUUACAUAUGU